RNAcentral lists this transfer RNA (60 nucleotides) under Berghia stephanieae. RNAcentral's name for it is "tRNA-Leu". The record is from RNAcentral. Lineage: Eukaryota; Metazoa; Mollusca; Gastropoda; Nudibranchia; Aeolidiidae.
GACUUGGCAGAAUUAAUGUGAUUGAUUUAGGAUCAAUUUAUAAUAUAUUAUAUAUUAGUC